GUUGACGCAAAGAAAAAUUUCUUUUCAUGGAGGAUUCUCGAAGAAGAAAACUUUGUUUUCAUGUAUGGUGGUCCACAUACAGUAAAAUUAGGACUGGGAUUCACAAGCAAAAAAAAAAGGUUGAGAACUCUUGCGCUAAUUAAUGAUUCCAGAUUAUCCUACCUUCGACUAAAUUAUUUUUUCCAUUCACUGCCUCGAAAUUUUUCGUGGAAUGAAACAUCUCAUCCAGAUAAAGGUUCAGUUAAAGAAACGGCUAAACUCAGCCAACCACUAAAAUCACUCGACAGUGAGAUGUAUUUGCGGUACAUUAUGCAAAAAAAAAUAAAAUAAAAUAAAAUUGAUAGUUAAUUACAUAUUAGCAAAUUAUCCCAGUCCUAAUUUUACUGUAUGUGGACCACCAUACAUGAAAGUGGUAUUUUCUUUUUCGAGAAUUUUCUAUGAAAAGAAAGUUUUUCUUUGUUUUGCGUCAACUGAAGAAAGUUGGAACUUUCUUUCAUUGACGCAAAACAAAAA
RNAcentral lists this long non-coding RNA (513 nucleotides) under Androctonus crassicauda. Lineage: Eukaryota; Metazoa; Arthropoda; Arachnida; Scorpiones; Buthidae. The record is from RNAcentral.